This 475-nucleotide unclassified non-coding RNA is filed under the name Hevea brasiliensis (rubber tree). Lineage: Eukaryota; Viridiplantae; Streptophyta; Magnoliopsida; Malpighiales; Euphorbiaceae. The record is from RNAcentral.
AUUAUACCAUAAAAUCUAAUAAAUUUAAACCUCUUUAUUUCAGGUUUUACAAUGUAAAAAUAAAUAGAAGUGCAUUUCUUGAAUUCAAUGUUACAAAUCAAACAAUCAUUAAUGGCCAAAAAUGAAAGAAUUACAUUUCUGGGUAAAUUAAAAUUACUAGUUACCAAUUUAAUAAGCCUUACUGUUGUCUACCCUCUUGGAACUCGAGAAGAUCGUCCAACAAUUUGUUAUCCAAAUACUCAAACUCUAUUACUUCCUGCCCUCCAGAAGAACCCACGAGGCCAUAACUGGUAGGAGGAGCAACAGAGAACGAGGAGGGCAGCGACGACGAAGAAGAAGAGGGAGCAGAUGACGGCCGAGAAGUAUGGCUAUGGUAUUGGUAUUCAUUUGGGAAGUUAAGAAUGGCUAAAUGACCACGGAAGGCAAAAGCAGCUCUGUCAUAAGCUCUGGCAGCCUCCUCCGCCGUCUCAAAUGU